GGGGAUGUAAUGGAUUCGACAUUUUAAUGCCUUAAUAUAUUGCAGUGGUUUUGUGUCCUAAACACUUCGAGAUAUUUGUAAAUGCAAAUAAAAAACUAAAAAAAGCUGAUGCAACAACAAAUGAAGUUUUCUUCAUGAAUGAAGCUACAGCUAAUAAUUUUGCUUUCGCUUAAUUAGCGAAGUUAAAUAAAAAGACUAAAUAGUCAAUAGCAAACUUUAUUCAUUCGACUCCUCUAAAUUGAAUAAUGUAUCGCAGAGGAUAGUGAUCUUAUGGCGAAAGAUCAUGAAAAUUUAGCCAAAAAGUUAUUUGAUAUUUUGUUCAAUUUUGGUCAAAAUAACUUAUUUAAAUUGAACUAAACUGUAGAAGUAUAUUAACUGGAAAUUAAUAUGGACCCGGGUUCAACUCCCGGCAUCUCCACCA
This 421-nucleotide transfer-messenger RNA is filed under the name Mollicutes bacterium PWAP. It matches the Rfam family "transfer-messenger RNA". Rfam says of the family: Bacterial tmRNA, also known as 10Sa RNA or SsrA, is named for its dual tRNA and mRNA-like properties. Its role is to liberate the mRNA from a stalled ribosome. RNAcentral also lists the same sequence under 1 other name. The record is from RNAcentral. Lineage: Bacteria; Bacillati; Mycoplasmatota; Mollicutes.